UUCGGGAACUCUGAGACAGGCGCUGCAUGUNCUGUCGUCAGCUCGUGUUGUGAAAUGUUGGGUUAAGUCCCGCAACGAGCGCAACCCUUAUCCUUUGUUGCCAGCGGUUCGGCCGGGAACUCAAAGGAGACUGCCAGUGAUAAACUGGAGGAAGGUGGGGAUGACGUCAAGUCAUCAUGGCCCUUACGAGUAGGGCUACACACGUGCUACAAUGGCGCAUACAAAGAGAAGCGACCUCGCGAGAGCAAGCGGACCUCAUAAAGUGCNUCGUAGUCCGGAUUGGAGUCUGCAACUCGACUCCAUGAAGUCGGAAUCGCUAGUAAUCGUAGAUCAGAAUGCUACGGUGAAUACGUUCCCGGGUC
This 362-nucleotide ribosomal RNA is filed under the name Enterobacter sp. Nfb4SX. RNAcentral's name for it is "bacterial SSU rRNA". It matches the Rfam family "Bacterial small subunit ribosomal RNA", at positions 1019 to 1380 of the family's 1533-position model. Lineage: Bacteria; Pseudomonadati; Pseudomonadota; Gammaproteobacteria; Enterobacterales; Enterobacteriaceae. The record is from RNAcentral.